GGAAAGCAGGACUGUGGUCCAACCCACUGCGCCACCGCACCCCCGUACUCAGGAAAACAAGCAAAGUAAUCCUGGGGCUCUGGAGGCAGACGGCCCGGCGCUGCCUCAGGGGACUAGACACAGCAAGCCUGACAGCACUGGGAAAGAGCAAUGCUCCAAUGCUGCCUGUCUCUUCUCCAAAAAGCUCAACUUGACCACCCUGCAGAAACGUUCUUGGAAUCGCUGCAGG
Long non-coding RNA from Scleropages formosus (Asian bonytongue), 229 nucleotides. RefSeq lists it as uncharacterized. The record is from RefSeq and is a predicted model, not a curated record. The transcript has 3 exons. Lineage: Eukaryota; Metazoa; Chordata; Actinopteri; Osteoglossiformes; Osteoglossidae.